This 649-nucleotide ribosomal RNA is filed under the name uncultured bacterium. RNAcentral's name for it is "bacterial SSU rRNA". It matches the Rfam family "Bacterial small subunit ribosomal RNA", at positions 8 to 632 of the family's 1533-position model. The record is from RNAcentral.
AGAGUUUGAUCCUGGCUCAGAACGAACGCUGGCGGCGUGCCUAACACAUGCAAGUCGAGCGAGAACGCCUGCUUCGGCAGGUUAGUAAAGCGGCGAACGGGUGAGUAACACGUGAGUCACCUACCCUCCAGUAGGGGAUAACACUUCGAAAGGGGUGCUAAUACCGUGUACGGUCCCGACCGUGUCUGCGGAUGGGACGAAAGGUGGCCUCUCUAUAGAAGCUGCCGCUGGAGGAUGGGCUCGCGCCCCAUUAGCUAGUUGGUAGGGUAACGGCCUACCAAGGCAACUAUGGGUAGCUGGUCUGAGAGGACGAUCAGCCACACUGGAACUGAGACACGGUCCAGACUCCUACGGGAGGCAGCAGUGGGGAAUAUUGCACAAUGGGGGAAACCCUGAUGCAGCAACGCCGCGUGCGGGAUGAAGGCCUUCGGGUCGUAAACCGCUGUCAGGGGGGAAGAAAUCGCUCCGGUGAAUAACCGGGGUGGAUGACGGUACCCCCAGAGGAAGCCCCGGCUAACUCCGUGCCAGCAGCCGCGGUAAGACGGAGGGGGCGAGCGUUGUUCGGAAUCAUUGGGCGUAAAGCGCGCGUAGGCGGUCGAGUAAGUCGGACGUGAAAGCCCAGGGCUCAACCCUGGAAGUGCGCUCGAUA